This 3210-nucleotide long non-coding RNA is filed under the name Paramuricea clavata. Lineage: Eukaryota; Metazoa; Cnidaria; Anthozoa; Malacalcyonacea; Plexauridae. The record is from RNAcentral.
UGGGAAAAAACGCAUUCGAAAAAAUAUAGUUACUUCCGCCAAGAAAACGACAAAGUGAUAUAUUAAAUUACAGACUAUUUUGUCUAUUAAGCCGUAUUUGCUAAUUUGCUACUUCACGGCGCACACGAAUUCAUUUAUAUCGGAACAUGAUCAGUGAUCAAACGCAAUGUCUCAUUACCCAAAUAUUGGUCAUGAUCAGGUUUGGAAGCGAUCACGGGAAUUAUGCCCUUUUUUGCUGGUAUUAUGCCCUUAUAUUACGCACUUUAUUACGCUUCACGAGAGCGGCGCAAAUUAGAUAGUUGAAGUUAUGAUAAUGUAAAGUUGUGUACGCAAUUUAGUUGUUUGGGCAAGAAACAUCAUGAGUAAUGUAAGUAAUGAAAUAAUGCUGAAACGCGCCCUUUUGGCAGCCAGGCAAGGAAACCUUAAAAUGCAUAUGCGUGGAUCAAUGUAUUAUUGUAUAAAAGAGCUGUAAGUUGUAAAUGUAUUCAGAUCACUAGAUCAGUAGAGAAUAGAAUUGGGAUUAGAUUAAUCGCUGGAAGUGGUUAGCAUUGCAUAAUUUAAAUACAAAUUGCAAAUUUCGACACGUUAUAAUGCUGUUUCCUGACCAUCAGAUUUCUGUCAAAUCGUCCCCCAAAGUCCAGGAAAUGGCAUUUCAGAGACUCUAAAUUCAAAAACUUUCGGGGGGCAUGCCCCCGGACCCCCCUAGACAAACCUCGCACCUUCGGCGCUCGGCUCGUGCCUUCGGCCCUCGUUUAUCAAGUGUGAUAUUAUAGGGGCGCAUAUUGGUUGACAGUCCACUGGCCCCCCCAGAAAAAUAGUACCCAGCACGCCACUGGUCGCACUGCUGGCAUUGUUUGUAAAUGCAAUUGUGCAAACUCCCGAAAUACAGCACUCCUUGAGCCGGCGGUGGGCACCAACACUAAAGUUCUUCCAUUAGUAUAUAAUACAAUGAUUUUCCUCAUAGGACAACUUGUCACAAUAUUCUGAGUUAGAUUUACACUCGGAUUCAAAGCAGUGCUCACACUUAUUCGACCGACAACACUCCCUUGUACCGCUGCGAUCACUUAUUUGACGCAGAAAUGCCCAUCACACGACGAUGAAACUAUAGUACUCAACCUUAACAGUUUCGAUCACUGUUAUACGACGACAACAAGUUGGGCCAAAUAAUUCAUGACAAUCUUCGUUUGAACUGCAAUUGUCACAAGCAACUAUUCUAGUUAUUUCGAUUCGUUCAAAAACAAUACACGUAUGACAACUACCAAAACCGACAAUUCCAUGCCCCUUUUAAAUUCUGUAGAACACAACUACUUCGAAAUAAAUGAAAUCCGAGAGAGCACUGUCUACAUACGUCCGUUGUCUGUAUCAUAUAUCUGUAUUUAUCAAGUACGUCAAUUCAGAGUUAUAAUGACGUUGAAUAGUUUUUUUCUGGGAUUCCCCACGAUUGACUAACUAAAUAUGAGCCAACUCAUGCGUGGAUUGUACAUGCUGUGCGGUAUUAUUUCGAUCUCGAGUCGGCAAUGUCUUGAUUUAUUGGAAGAAAAUUAAGGUCCAGAAUUAAACAAUAUUACAUGAAUAUCACAUAAAUAAAUAAAUAAAACAAACAAACACAACUUUGACUUAGUCAGUGUAUAAAGUAAAGCGAAAAAAACGCACGAAAAUUCUUGGCUAAACCCACGAUGGCAUACCGUUAUGCAAACGGAAUCUUCAAAUCGCAUUUAAAAGUAAGUUGUGCAUGUUUUAUUUAGCAUUCUCACGCCGCCAUUUUUGGGUGGCUUUUCAGCCAAAGUCUGCGAGAUAAGUCCACAUAACAGCGACUUUUUAUAAAUUUUUGGACGACUGAUAGUGAAUUUGCUUUGUAAAUGGUUAGUUUAUUUUGAAAAAUUGAUUUUCACAUUGUUUCAAUUGUCUACAUUGGUUAACGAGAAUUAGAUGCCACCCAAAAAUGGCGGAUAUUCGUCAUCGUUGAACCUAUAUUACCUAUUAAAUAAACAAAAUUUUGAUCUAGACAAGUCUAGACAAAAAUUUCAUCACAGCUUUGAAAGAGCAUCACAAAAUUAGUAAUAUUCCGAAGUUUCGUUGCGAAAUGUUGUAAAAUGCGGAUAAUAUAGCCCUACGAAGUUUAUCGUUUUCCAGUCAUUUUGUAUUGCGCACGAGAAAUUGAUACCGCUUCCUGAAAAAAUGUAUCAAUUUCCCGUGCGUAAUACAAAAUGACUGAAAAACGGCAAACUUUGCAGGGCUAUAUCCGCAUUUUACAACAUUUCCCAACGAAACGUCGGAAUAUUACUAAUUUUGUGAUGCUUUUUCAAGCUGUGGUAAAAAUUUUUGUCUAGACUUGUCUAGAUCAAAAUUUUGUUCAUUAGGUAAAUAGGUCCAUUGUUGGUCGAAACGUCUACGUCAUUUUACUUGUAUUUUACUUGUAUUGAUCGAAACGUCUACGUCAUUUUACUUGUAUUGACGUAGUGUGUAAAUAAAUGCUAAACAAUUAACGCACGAAGCAGAGCGUGCUUGUCUGCACGAUCAGUGUUGCUUAAAAAUGUCUAUGACAAGUAAGAUCGUUUAUAUUUCGACGAAAUACGUUUGUACGGUGUUUUAAACAUGACAAAAUUGUUGUUUUUAGUGUUGACUGUAAAUGUGGCGUUUCUCAAUGUAACAGUUGAGGUAGUAAAGGGCGAAUACUGUGAAACGUACGAAGACUGCCCGAAUGUAAGGGGAUGCUGUCGGCAGAACGAGUGUGUUAGAUGUUCAAACCCUGGUUGUAAAUCUGAUUCGGAAUGUACGCCAGGGCAACGAUGCUGCGAAGGAUCAAGUCAAUGUAAUUUCUGGUGUGCAGAAACUUGUGCAGCUGACGGAUAUUGUAUUGGAACCGGUAAAUAUAGCUGAUUAAAAUAUAUACUAGAUGAUAGCUUUACAGCCUUUACUUUUAGACUACAGUGGAAGCCCGCCAUACGACCACCUCGUUAAUACGACCACUCCGAUAAAUCAUAAUACGACCACUUUUCAUUUCCCCGAACAUCACCUAAGUAUUUUUGAAGACCUCGUUUAUACGACCACCUUGUUAAUACGACCAACAACCACCUUUUGAUGUCCCCAUCUCUUUAUUCUUUAAUACGACUAUUUAAGCCCCAUUGGCCGUUUAUGUAGUUUUAAAGACAAGCGUGAUUUAAUACAUCAUAAGAGAGGUUAAGAUACCCCGGUUUACGGGUACGGGUG